This 864-nucleotide ribosomal RNA is filed under the name uncultured bacterium. Its description in RNAcentral is "bacterial SSU rRNA". It matches the Rfam family "Bacterial small subunit ribosomal RNA", at positions 60 to 914 of the family's 1533-position model. The record is from RNAcentral.
AGUCGAACGGCAGCACGGAGAGCUUGCUCUCUGGUGGCGAGUGGCGAACGGGUGAGUAAUGCAUCGGAACGUACCGAGUAAUGGGGGAUAACUGUCCGAAAGGAUGGCUAAUACCGCAUACGCCCUGAGGGGGGAAGCGGGGGAUCUUAGUGACCUCGCGUUAUUUGAGCGGCCGAUGUUGGAUUAGCUAGUUGGUGGGGUAAAGGCCUACCAAGGCGACGAUCCAUAGCGGGUCUGAGAGGAUGAUCCGCCACAUUGGGACUGAGACACGGCCCAAACUCCUACGGGAGGCAGCAGUGGGGAAUUUUGGACAAUGGGGGGAACCCUGAUCCAGCCAUGCCGCGUGUCUGAAGAAGGCCUUCGGGUUGUAAAGGACUUUUGUUAGGGAAGAAAAGCCGGGUGCUAAUACCACCUGGUGCUGACGGUACCUAAAGAAUAAGCACCGGCUAACUACGUGCCAGCAGCCGCGGUAAUACGUAGGGUGCGAGCGUUAAUCGGAAUUACUGGGCGUAAAGCGAGCGCAGACGGUUAAUCAAGUCAGAUGUGAAAUCCCCGAGCUCAACUUGGGACGUGCAUUUGAAACUGGUUAACUAGAGUGUGUCAGAGGGAGGUAGAAUUCCACGUGUAGCAGUGAAAUGCGUAGAGAUGUGGAGGAAUACCGAUGGCGAAGGCAGCCUCCUGGGAUAACACUGACGUUCAUGCUCGAAAGCGUGGGUAGCAAACAGGAUUAGAUACCCUGGUAGUCCACGCCCUAAACGAUGACAAUUAGCUGUUGGGACACUAGAUGUUUUAGUAGCGAAGCUAACGCGUGAAAUUGUCCGCCUGGGGAGUACGGUCGCAAGAUUAAAACUCAAAGGAAUUGAC